This 430-nucleotide ribosomal RNA is filed under the name uncultured Amoebophrya. RNAcentral describes it as "partial Bacterial large subunit ribosomal RNA". It matches the Rfam family "Bacterial large subunit ribosomal RNA", at positions 246 to 733 of the family's 2925-position model. Lineage: Eukaryota; Dinophyceae; Syndiniales. The record is from RNAcentral.
GCGGCGAGCGAACGGGGACCAGCCGAGCCUUGAGUGUGAUCAGAAAGACCUGGGAAGGUCUGCCAUAGUGGGUGAUAGCCCCGUAUGAGAAGCACGAUUGGACGUAUUAAGUAGGGCGGGACACGUGAAAUCCUGUCUGAAGAUCGGAGGACCACCUUCGAAGGCUAAGUACUCCUUACUGACCGAUAGUGAACCAGUACCGUGAGGGAAAGGUGAAAAGCACCCCGACGAGGGGAGUGAAACAGUACCUGAAACCGAACGCCUACAAUCAGUCGGAGCCCCCUUGCGGGGUGACGGCGUACCUUUUGUAUAAUGGGUCAUCGACUUGGUCUAUCUAGCAAGCUUAAGCCGUUAGGUGUAGGCGCAGCGAAAGCGAGUCUUAAUAGGGCGAAUGAGUUAGUCGGAUUAGACCCGAAACCGAGUGAUCUAG